Molecule: ribosomal RNA, 553 nt
Filed under: Leptodactylus leptodactyloides A
Lineage: Eukaryota; Metazoa; Chordata; Amphibia; Anura; Leptodactylidae
Description: partial 16S ribosomal RNA
Rfam family: Bacterial large subunit ribosomal RNA
Source: RNAcentral
AUAAUAAAAAGGUCUAGCCUGCCCAGUGACUCUGUUCAACGGCCGCGGUAUCCUAACCGUGCGAAGGUAGCGUAAUCACUUGUUCUUUAAAUGAGGACUAGUAUGAAUGGCAUCACGAGGGUUUUACUGUCUCCUCCCUCUAAUCAGUGAAACUAAUUUCCCCGUGAAGAAGCGGGGAUAAGCCUAUAAGACGAGAAGACCCUAUGGAGCUUUAAACACACAACAAUUGCCCUACUCCCCCCCAUGAAUCUCCGGAGAAACCACCUACCCGGGCAUUUUGAUUGCAAGUUUUAGGUUGGGGUGACCGCGGAGUAGAAAUUAACCUCCACAGCGAAUGGGACUUUUUCCCUAAACCCAGGGCUACGACCCUAAGAAUCAAUAAAUUGACACCCAUUGACCCAAUUUUUUUGACCAACGAACCAAGUUACCCUAGGGAUAACAGCGCAAUCCACUUCAAGAGCUCCUAUCGACAAGUGGGUUUACGACCUCGAUGUUGGAUCAGGGUACCCCAGUGGUGCAGCCGCUGCUAACGGUUCGUUUGUUCAACGAUUAA